This 500-nucleotide ribosomal RNA is filed under the name uncultured Glomeromycotina. RNAcentral's name for it is "partial small subunit ribosomal RNA". It matches the Rfam family "Eukaryotic small subunit ribosomal RNA", at positions 591 to 1092 of the family's 1831-position model. Lineage: Eukaryota; Fungi; Glomeromycota. The record is from RNAcentral.
CCAAUAGCGUAUAUUAAAGUUGUUGCAGUUAAAAAGCUCGUAGUUGAACCUCGGGAUCAAUGGAUCGGUCAUGCCAUCGGUAUGUACUGGUCUCAUUGGUUCUCACCUUCUAAGGAACCAUGAUGUCAUUAAUUUGAUGAUGUGGGGAAUUAGGACUGUUACCUUGAAAAAAUUAGAGUGUUUAAAGCAGGCUAACGCUUGAAUACAUUAGCAUGGAAUAAUGAAAUAGGACAUCGCAUUCUAUUUUGUUGGUUUCUAGGAUCGAUGUAAUGAUUAAUAGGGAUAGUUGGGGGCAUUAGUAUUCAAUUGUCAGAGGUGAAAUUCUUGGAUUUAUUGAAGACUAACUACUGCGAAAGCAUUUGCCAAGGAUGUUUUCAUUAAUCAAGAACGAAAGUUAGGGGAUCGAAGACGAUCAGAUACCGUCGUAGUCUUAACCAUAAACUAUGCCGACUAGGGAUCGGAUGAUGUUGAUUUUUUAAUGACUCAUUCGGCACCUUACG